Molecule: ribosomal RNA, 116 nt
Filed under: Streptococcaceae bacterium
Lineage: Bacteria; Bacillati; Bacillota; Bacilli; Lactobacillales; Streptococcaceae
Source: RNAcentral
UUUGGUGACAAUAGCAGUGGAGAUACGCCUGUUCCCAUGCCGAACACAGAAGCUAAGUCCAUUCGCGCCGGAAGUAGUUAGGGGUUGCCCCUUGUGAGAUAAGGUCGUUGCCAAGU